UACGUAGGGGGCAAGCGUUGUCCGGAAUCAUUGGGCGUAAAGAGCGUGUAGGCGGCUAGAUAGGUCCGUUGUGAAAACUGGAGGCUCAACCUCCAGCUGUCGAUGGAAACCAUCUGGCUAGAGUCCGGAAGAGGAGAGUGGAAUUCCUGGUGUAGCGGUGAAAUGCGCAGAUAUCAGGAAGAACACCCGUGGCGAAGGCGGCUCUCUGGGACGUGACUGACGCUGAGACGCGAAAGCGUGGGGAGCGAACAGG
RNAcentral lists this ribosomal RNA (253 nucleotides) under uncultured bacterium. RNAcentral describes it as "partial 16S ribosomal RNA". It matches the Rfam family "Bacterial small subunit ribosomal RNA", at positions 524 to 776 of the family's 1533-position model. The record is from RNAcentral.